This 1384-nucleotide ribosomal RNA is filed under the name uncultured bacterium. Its description in RNAcentral is "16S ribosomal RNA". It matches the Rfam family "Bacterial small subunit ribosomal RNA". The record is from RNAcentral.
UUCGCCCUUAGAGUUUGAUCCUGGCUCAGGACGAACGCUGGCGGCGCGCCUAACACAUGCAAGUCGAACGGAGUUUGAGAGAGCUUGCUUUUUCAAACUUAGUGGCGAACGGGUGAGUAACGCGUGAGUACCUGCCCUGGAGUGGGGGACAACAGUUGGAAACGACUGCUAAUACCGCAUAAGCCCACGGUGCCGCAUGGCACAGCGGGAAAAGGAUUUAUUCGCUUCAGGAUGGACUCGCGUCCAAUUAGCUAGUUGGUGAGGUAACGGCCCACCAAGGCGACGAUUGGUAGCCGGACUGAGAGGUUGAACGGCCACAUUGGGACUGAGACACGGCCCAGACUCCUACGGGAGGCAGCAGUGGGGGAUAUUGCACAAUGGGGGAAACCCUGAUGCAGCGACGCCGCGUGGAGGAAGAAGGUUUUCGGAUUGUAAACUCCUGUCGUUAGGGACGAUAAUGACGGUACCUAACAAGAAAGCACCGGCUAACUACGUGCCAGCAGCCGCGGUAAAACGUAGGGUGCAAGCGUUGUCCGGAAUUACUGGGCGUAAAGGGCGUGUAGGCGGGAAUUUAAGUAAGGUGUGAAAACUCCGGGCUUAACCUGGAGACUGCACUUUAAACUGGAUUUCUUGAGGGCAGGAGAGGAAAGUGGAAUUCCUAGUGUAGCGGUGAAAUGCGUAGAUAUUAGGAGGAACACCAGUGGCGAAGGCGACUUUCUGGACUGUACCUGACGCUGAGGCGCGAAAGCAUGGGUAGCAAACAGGAUUAGAUACCCUGGUAGUCCAUGCCGUAAACGAUGAUUAAUAGGUGUUGGGGGGGAUUGACCCCCUCAGUGCCGCCAGUUAACACAAUAAAGUAGUCCACCUGGGGAGUACGACCGCAAGGUUGAAACUCAAAGGAAUUGACGGGGGCCCGCACAAGCAGUGGAGUAUGUGGUUUAAUUAGAAGCAACGCGAAGAACCUUACCAGGUCUUGACAUCCGAAGCAUAGCACAGAGAUGUGUGAAAUCCUUCGGGACAUCGAGACAGGUGGUGCAUGGUUGUCGUCAGCUCGUGUCGUGAGAUGUUGGGUUAAGUCCCGCAACGAGCGCAACCCCUAUCCUCAGUAGCCAGCAUUUAAGGUGGGCACUCUGGGGAGACUGCCAGGGAUAACCUGGAGGAAGGCGGGGAUGACGUCAAAUCAUCAUGCCCCUUAUGAUUUGGGCUACACACGUGCUACAAUGGCGUAAACAAAGGGAAGCGAGAUUGUGAGAUGGAGCAAAUCCCAAAAAUAACGUCCCAGUUCGGACUGUAGUCUGCAACCCGACUACACGAAGCUGGAAUCGCUAGUAAUCGCGGAUCAGAAUGCCGCGGUGAAUACGUUCCCGGGUCUUGUACUCACCGC